This 1386-nucleotide ribosomal RNA is filed under the name Hydropsyche rhomboana. Its description in RNAcentral is "16S ribosomal RNA". The record is from RNAcentral. Lineage: Eukaryota; Metazoa; Arthropoda; Insecta; Trichoptera; Hydropsychidae.
AAUUUUAUUUUAAUUAAAAUAAUAUUAAAUUUAAUUAGUUAAUUUUAGUAAAAUUAAAAGAAAAAAUAUUUGUGUUUAUAAAAUAUUAGUAAAGUUAUUGAAUUUUUAAAAAGUUUAAAUAAAUUAAAAUUAAUAAAAGAAGAUUUAAUAGGUCGUAUCUUGGGUAUCAGAGUUUAAUAAAAAUAUUUAAAUAUGUUUAAUUUUCUCGAAAAAAAUUAGGAGUUAAAAAUUAAAUUUUUAUUAAUGUUUAAAAAUUAUAAAUAAUUAAUUUUUGGAAAUGAAAAGUUAUUCGUUUUUUUUUAUAUCUAGUUUUGAAAGAAAUAAAUUUAAUUUGGAUUUUUGUUUAUAAGGGUAUCAUUAAAAAGAUUUUAAUUAUUAUUAAUUAAAAAUUAGUAUAUAUGGGGUUAAGCUUAUAUAUAAACUUUUAAAUUUAUUAUAUGUUAAUUGGAAUAAAAUUAUAAAAUUAAAAUUUUAUUUUAUUUAAUUUUUAAUAUUUAAUUUAUUUUUUAAAUAAGAAAUAUUUAAUUUAGUUUAAAUUAAAAAUUUAUUUUGAGAACUUAAAUAAUUUUAUAUUUAAAAGAGAUAAUGUUAAAAUUAGUAUAAUUAAAUAUAAAAUUGAUAUUAAUAUUAAAAAAUUAAAAUUAAUUAAUUAGGCAAAAUUAAAAUUAUUUUUAAAAAAUUUAAUUAUUUCACAUGUUUAACAAAAACAUGUCUUUUAGUUUUAAAUUUAAAGUCUAAUCUGCCCACUGAAAACUAAUUUAAAGGGCUGCAGAAUUUUAACUGUACGAAGGUAGCAUAAUAAAUUGUUUUUUAAUUGAAAACUAGAAUGAAUGAUUUCAUGAAAAUAAAACUGUCUAAAUUUUAUAAUUAAAAUUUAUUUUUUUUGUUAAAAAACAAAAAUUAAUUAAAAAGACGAGAAGACCCUUUAGAUUUUAAUUUUUUAAAGUUUUUUAAUCAAUUGAAUAAUUUGAAAUUGAAUUUGGUAUAUUAAUUAUAAAGAAUAGAAAAAAUUUGAUUGGGGUGAUUUAUAAAUUUUUUAAACUUUAAUUUAUUGGAGUAAAAUAUUUUAAUUUAAAAAAAAAUUAGUUUUAAAAAAUAUUGAUUUAGUUUUAUGGAUUAUAGGAAUAAAUUACCUAAGGGAUAACAGCGUUAUUUAGAUUUUUAGUUCUUAUAGAAAUUUAAGAUUGCGACCUCGAUGUUGGAUUAAGAUAAAUUUAAAAAGAAGAAGUUUUAGAAUUUAGUCUGUUCGACUAUUAAAAUCUUACAUGAUCUGAGUUCAAACCGGCGUGAGCCAGGUUGGUUUCUAUCUUUUAAAAUAUAGAAAAAAUGUUUUAGUACGAAAGGAUUGAAUGUUUAAAAUAAAAAAUUUUUUAAGAUUUUUGAAUA